CAGGUCCCUAAGGUUUCGAUAUGUUCAAACUUUUUAAGAGCUGGGGAAUAGUUUUCCUCAGGGAAACUGUUUUCACCAUUUCCCUUUUGUCUCAUUUACUAAAAAACCCAGUGCUUUGAACUUAAAAGGAAUCACACAGAAAUGAUGGGUUUAUGAACAUGACAAGGAGAAUGGUGUCCGACAUUUUUUUCCUUUAGAAGUAUGUUCAGGUUUUCUCGUUGUGAAUUUAGGCAUGCUAAAUUCCCCAUUCUUUGUUUUAACCACAUACAGAAAAACGCUGCCUUUAUAGUUUACAUCAACAUAAAAUAUAAGCCUGUUCCCUGUGAUCCAAGCAGAAUAUUCUGUAUGUCAGAGCUUAACAAGGAGUUUAACUUCAGGAGAGCAAGGUCUUAAAGGUGAACUACAAAGCACAGAGAAAUUAUGCUUUUGUGCCCUGUAGUUAACUAAAGGGGGAACGGUGGGAUGUAGAGUAUAUUCUGGGGGGCAUCUAAGAAGCCACAGGAUAAUUCUGCAAGCCUUCUUUCUUCCUCAUCCUCUUUUCUCUUGCGUCUCCCCUAUGCUUUCUCCCCAUUCUGUAACCCCCAUGCAGGGUGCAACACUGGCUCUGUGCAAGCACUCCAUGGUUGGGCUGGGGUUUUUACCCCGACAGAGCAGUUCACCUUCAAGCAAUUCUUGAAAGCGAGCUUCAAAUGGCCUUGGGCGUUUUGGCUUGAAAUUUAGAACACCUUUUGAAAAAAAAUUAGAAGACCAAAAAGGCCACGAAGGCUUAGAAUCAUAAAGCAACUGAAGGAUAACAUCCUGCCUGAGUCUCACCCCUACACAGCACCUCCUCAGAGCCAGCACAGACCUGGGCAAUGUCAGAUGGGGUUCGCGGGGAGCCACCCUUCCACUGAUGCUCAUUGGAAUGGCACCAGCUCCUGGCCGUGACUAUCAGGCACAGUUCAGCGUCUUCACUUCGGCAUCCCAAAACUGAGACUUGAUACAUCCAAGGCUCAAAGGGGGAUCUGGCAGCAGCCCCGUACAAAAGCCCCGGUGGAAACAUUUAACUUCCCGAGAUGUUACUCCCACAGUGUACAUGAAGAGGAAUUGCUUCAGACAGCGCGAGCAUUGACUGAAGUCAGGGAGAGCUGUGCUGUUGACUUCUCUGGAGCAAGAUGGGAUCUGCUGCCUGCAGUCGGCAUUCCCCUCAGACGAGCACAGCUCUGGAAAUGCCGUGCCGAUGGAAAAGUCCCACAGAGAAGGCAGAGCUCAUCGCUCUCAGGGUUAGAAGGAUCACCCUUCGGGCCUCAAAACAAGGUCAAAGUUGGGAGGGAGAGGAAAAGAGGUUUAAAAUGAAGGUGACCCUGGAAAACCUGCUCUGCAGUCACAGAACGGCAAGAGUUUUUAUUCCAUUUUGGCCGGAGAGAAAUUAAAUCGUUAGACUUUUUCCCAUCAUCAGCACCCUCGUUGUGGAAACACAGCGGUCAAUUUUUACUGCGGUUUGGCAAGGCUGUCCUCAGCGCUGCACAUUUCCUGCUCGGCAUCCACCUUCCUCGCUUUUAAAAUUCAUUAUGGGUAAUCUGCUGCGAAAGAGAAUAUCGAGCCUGUAUGCCUCGACCACCCAGAUCUAUACACUCCUAUUGUCAGAUCUAUUUACUUCUGCUAUAAUAAAAGCGCCGGAGAGCAGAGCACAUGAGAAAGUGCUCCUAAGGAGAACACUGAAUCUUAAUCUUUGCCUUACACCCUCUUUAGCACCGUUUCUUCCAAAGCUGUGCACAUAUCUGUGCAGCUGUAUAUUUUCAGCGUACGUCACUGCAAAAUAAAUUAUUCAGGAUUGUUAGAUUACUUAUAAAUGACACCAAUCAAUUAACACCACAGCCGGCAGUCUUUGGGGCUUUUGUCAGAGGCCAGGAUGGUAAAGCUCUCAACUCCACAUUUCCCAGUAUGAAGGAUUAUGGUAAUGACAGCUUAUUUUUAUUGAAUUUUUAAUUGAUGAGUAAUAUCUCUGGACUCGCUGUGCUAACAUUAGGUCUAGGGAGAGCUAAUCUCUUGAAGGAGAACAUGAUACAAGCAGAGCUGCCCUUCCCCAAACAAAAACCCCACUUGAAUGUGGCACCAAGCAAUCACGGGAGUUUGCUGCUGUCAGUUGUCAGAGUGUUUCACAAACCUUUGCACUGGAGAUUUGUGCCUUUUCCUUACUGCACAGGCCUUCGAGGAGACCACGCAUUAACAUGCGCUUCACUGCUGUCCUGUAAUAAGGUGAAAAAAGUAGGGUGGCUCCAGGUCAUGUGAAACAAAGCAAGCAGCAGCCUGUAUUGAUCCCUGGGCCGAAGACGCCACGUUUCUGUUUGCAAGCUGGAAAAGCCUCAGGUCUCCCUCCUCUGCACCGCUGACAUUUCCAGCAUUUCUGCUGGCGUUACCAGCAAGGCCACCGGAGAGCAGGUUCUGCAACCCUCUCACAAAGGAACAAAUCCUACCGCUGGCUACAAAGCCACAGAGCCACGGAAUUAAAUAUUUGUUUCCCUUUCUCGAUUGAAGGACAAAACCUGGGGUCCCCUCCUCCUUCCAAAAUACCCAGCCCCCAGGCAGAUUGUGCUGGUGCGUGCUCAUGGUGUGCACAGGGUGAGUCACGCAGAGAGCUGCGCUUCAAUACUGGCAAAGAAUAACACAGCUGAUCUGGUCUUUUCCAUGUUGCUUUAAGGAGCAGUAAAGCUUCGUGAUGAUGGAUAAACACUAUUAUCAUGCAUUAAACAUAUGUGGUUUAAGGACAGAGAGUAGUCUGAUACUAAGUUUUUCAAUACAGAUUGAACUUGUCAUUGAA
Molecule: long non-coding RNA, 2800 nt
Organism: Harpia harpyja (harpy eagle)
Lineage: Eukaryota; Metazoa; Chordata; Aves; Accipitriformes; Accipitridae
Exons: 7
Source: RefSeq, a predicted model, not a curated record